CACUAAAACGGCAGGGCUCUGAGCCCAGCACACGGACUGACUCUUCAUUUUCUACUUGGCAGGAGGCACUUGAAGUACAGACAAAGAGAAAAGUCUACCAAGGAAAGGGAGAAGAGCAAGCUGAGGACGCCAAAGAAUCUUGUUUGGGAUCUGCAGAUAGCAACAAGAAUCUUUAAUAACCAGAGACAACACAGGAAGAUACUGGGCUUAGGUCUUGACUUCCAUAUGCUUGCAAAUUCUGCUGGGAAAGAAAACAGAAGAGGAAAAUGGAAAUUGAACAACAGAGAGAUGGUAUUUCCAGACAAGGGAAUAAAUUCCCGGAAGCAACUGGCCAAGGAAUGAAAAUCCUGGAGAACAGAGUGGAAGAAACGCGUAUUCCACAUUUCCUGUUGAUUUUCUUUCCUCCCUAAACACUGACCUCCCGCAGUCUUCACUAGCAGGUGAGGUCACCUGUAGAGGUCAUGCUGCGGAGUCCCGAGUCCCUGAUUAUAUUCAAGACGUGGAGCUCUCUUUUUCCCGUCCUGCUUUCUUUCCAGAAGUGCCUCAGAUGCAUCCUCCCCUUCUCUUUUCUCCACAUGAAGACGUCACUGACCAUCUUCUCUGGUUUGCUUUCCAACACCGAGCACCAAGUGCUUCAAAGGUCAUGGUGCCCUGGGGCCGAGAGCUACUUAUGUGGGCAUUUAUAACCAAAUAAAUAUUGAAAUGGCCCACAAAGCAAAUGUUAGUGGUAACCAACAGCGGUAAAACUGGGUACAUGGGACCCUGAACCUUCUUGAAUAUUCCCCAUGAGACCCUGGGCCGACCUUCGGGCUUUCCAGUGUGCUCAGAAAAUCCUCCGUGGCUCCCAGCCCCAGCUUAGUCUUUCAACGGUCCUCGGACUGAAGCAAGAGACAGGGAAGGAAUUGUCCAAGGUUUUCCAGCAUGCUGAGAACACUUACCAUGGUGGAGCCUGGCACGUACUGGCUCUUUGAUGCAUGUGUAUUGGUCUCAAGUAGCCAGAAGCAUCUCCUCUGAGAGCCCUUGCCCUCCAGUUUAAAUGGCAAAUGGAAGGGAAUGGGUUCUGGAAGGCCCCAGGUGGGCUGGGGUGGGUUCUGGAGACCAUCUUCCAACUCCUGUUCAGGAGGAGGGUUGGUCAGAUCAGCUCUGUGGCCACCUGGGCUCUGGAGGGGCGAGAUACGGGCAGGUGCGGCCACAGGAGGGAGAGCACCAUGUGCGGGGGAAGCCCACAGCUGGAACCAAAAGGCCCCAGGAGGGAUCCUGGCUCUGACAUCUCCCAGCCGUGUGGCCUUGGGCAAGGUCCCUGACUUGGACCUCAGCCUCCUCAUCUGUAAAACAGGCAGAACAGUAAUACCGACCUUGUAGGUUGUAUAGAGUUCAUAUACAUCAAGCACUUACCACAGUGCCUGGCGGACCGCAUGCCCUAAACACACAAUCCGUGAAAUGAAUCCAUCAGCAAGCAGCUGCUAGGGGCAGUGUGGGGCAGAGAGGCAGCUGCCUGCUGGAACUGGCUGACAGGAGGAUGAGUGUGUGGCAGGAGGAACGCUCUGCACAGAGGACACUAGGUAGCGUCACCUGUCUCUUACCCUGUGUCUCCACUGGAAUGGAAUGUCAGACUCGCACCAUGCAUUCCUUUCCCUGCCAAAACGCCUCCUCUUAGCAGUGAGCAAGAAAGUUGUUCGAGUGGAUGAAGCCAAAAGCCCAUUUGGCAAGAGUGCUGUUUUGGAAAAUGCUUAGCGGUGUGGGUUGGGAUGAGGUUUUCUGUGCCUUUCCAUUAUUUCUUCAGCUUCAUGUAACCCUGACUGAGCAAUGCUCAGCAGAGUGAAGGCUGGGCAGCAGAUGGACAAGAUUUUCUCAAACUCCUUUUUAAGCCAAUUUCAAAAUAGAGAGAGGGAAAAAUCCUUGUUUUCUCUUUUCGGUUUUGAGAGGUUUCAUAUGCAGACACAAUUUUAAAUUUUAUUUUUUUUGCCCCCAAUGAGAUGUUUGGAGAUGGUGGUACUAGAACAGGAAGGAAUUUAUAAGUAUUGGGGAAUUUUUCAUCCCAAUUCCCAUAUCCUCCUAUAAUUCAAGGAGUGAAUGGGUAGUGUUUUUGUUUUUGUGAGAGGGGUGGCGGAGGGUAGAGAGAGAAAGAGAGAGAGACAGAGAGAGAUUACAUAGAGGUGUCCAAAAUGAACACAGUAAAAACCAGUUUUGAUUAAUUCUGCAAUAUUAAGUAGGCAGCCAAAAAUUUUGGUCUGCUUAAUUCUUAGCUCAUCUAAGUCUCCAGUUGACUGAUUGAUUGAUUGAAUGACUUAUUCAACAUGCGCUAGCCAGACACUGGUCUAGGGCCCAGGAAUUCAGCAAUAAAUGAAACAAGACCAA
Molecule: long non-coding RNA, 2358 nt
Filed under: Homo sapiens (human)
Lineage: Eukaryota; Metazoa; Chordata; Mammalia; Primates; Hominidae
Description: HSALNT0273826
Source: RNAcentral